UAGAAACCAGGCGGCGCGUUCCCGGCGGCGGCGCGCUAGACUCUGGUGCCCGCGCAUCCCCGCCAGCCUCCCUCAAGGAGAACUGGUGGCCUCCGAGACCCGUCAGGACCCAUGGUAUCCAGUGCGACGCUCGGCGGGCGAUGCCAGCGUGCCAGGAGUCAUGUCUGACCAGGCCUGUGGGAAGGUCAUAUCCAUGCUGGAGGCUCUUGUGAGGAGAUGAGUUGGUGAAGAGAGAGGCCGGGAUGAAGAUGCUGCCAGGAGUGGGCGUGUUUGGGACUGGCAGCUCCGCCCGGGUUCUGGUCCCACUGCUGAGGGCAGAAGGGUUCACCGUUGAGGCCCUGUGGGGAAAGACUGAGGAGGAGGCGAAGCAGCUUGCUGAGGAGAUGAACAUCACCUUCUACACCAGCCGAACUGAUGACGUCUUGCUGCAUCAAGACGUGGAUCUGGUGUGCAUCAACAUCCCCCCUCCACUCACCCGGCAGAUAUCUGUGAAGGCUCUAGGUAUCGGGAAGAAUGUAGUUUGCGAGAAGGCAGCAACGUCAGUGGAUGCCUUCCGGAUGGUGACAGCCUCGCGCUACUACCCACAGUUGAUGAGCCUGGUGGGGAACGUGCUGCGCUUCCUGCCUGCCUUUGUGCGCAUGAAGCAGCUGAUCGCAGAGCACUACGUGGGAGCAGUGAUGAUCUGCGAUGCCCGCAUCUACUCAGGCAGCCUCCUAAGCCCCAGCUACGGCUGGAUCUGUGACGAGCUCAUGGGCGGUGGGGGCCUGCACACCAUGGGCACCUACAUCGUGGACCUGCUGACCCACCUGACCGGCCGGAGAGCUGAGAAGGUGCAUGGGCUGCUUAAGACCUUCGUGAGACAGAACGCUGCCAUCCGUGGCAUCCGACAUGUCACCAGUGAUGACUUCUGUUUCUUCCAGAUGCUCAUGGGUGGGGGUGUGUGUAGCACAGUGACACUCAACUUCAACAUGCCAGGCGCCUUUGUGCAUGAGGUCAUGGUGGUGGGUUCUGCAGGACGCCUUGUUGCCCGGGGAGCUGACCUUUAUGGACAGAAGAACUCUGCCACACAAGAAGAGCUGCUACUGAGGGACUCGCUGGCAGUGGGUGCAGGGCUGCCUGAACAGGGGCCCCAGGACGUCCCACUGCUCUACCUGAAAGGCAUGGUCUAUAUGGUGCAGGCCUUGCGCCAGUCCUUCCAGGGGCAGGGGGACCGCCGCACCUGGGACCGCACCCCUGUGUCCAUGGCUGCCUCGUUCGAAGAUGGGCUGUACAUGCAGAGUGUGGUGGAUGCCAUCAAGAGGUCUAGCCGGUCUGGGGAGUGGGAGACUGUGGAGGUGCUGACAGAGGAGCCUGACACCAACCAGAACCUGUGUGAGGCGCUUCAGCGUAAUAACCUCUGAGCCUGCACCUGGGCUCCCUGCCACAGGGCAAAGGGACCAGGGAGGGGAGCAGGAGCUGUUACGUGAUGGAGGGGCUUGGCUGUAGCAAAACAGUGUCUUUCAUUUAAUGAGUCGGCUGGGGCUGGGUGAAGCCAAAGCUGGCCCUGGGAGAGCACCCGCUCCAGCGGCUCAUUUACUCCUCAGACUUGCAGGGUGGUGAGCGUUCCUGUCACCACGGUUCAGAGGGCCAGCACAGUUAUGCUAGUGAGCAAGGCCAGUAAAAGCUCAACUUGUGGGCUCAUCAGCCUGAUUUGUGAUCCUAACAGGAUGAUAAGAAAGCACAACAGGAGCCAGCUGGGCUGAUCCUGAGGCCUGAGGAGAAAUGACAAGAAGCCUUGCAUGUGUCCAUGCCCUUCCUGGGCUGGGGCAUCUCAGGAAUGGUGAGGGCACCAAGUCAUCCCUCAGGGAUCCUCACCUGCCCUCCCAUGUGACCAGGCCCUCCAGCCUCCAGGCUGACCCUUCUCUGAUGGGGAGCAGAGGGGUUUCUUUAUUCGCACUUGUGAAUCUUCAGACUCUUGAGUGCCGGACAUCACCCCUCUUUGCAACAGGAAUCUCAACCUGGCCUGAACUAGGAGGUGAACUACAGAGAGCACCCACCAACCAAUCAGGACACUUGACAGUUAAAGAAGAGGCUGCCCCUUUGUCCCUGGGACAGUCAGCUCAGCUCCAGGUCAGUCCUUCAUGUGUUAUGAGAAUGUCGGUAUCCCUCCUAAAUUUGGGAAUUGAUCAGGAAAGCACAAGCCUUGUUCAGAUGCUCCUACAUAAGAAAGGGCCAUGUUGCUGACCCAGAGUGGCACUUAGGUUUUAGAGGACUUUGCUGUUAACAAAGACGGAUUCCCAGAAGUGUUGGGGCAGAUUGCAGUGGACUUAGAGCCAUUUUUAUGAGGGCCCCAGGUUCUCUGAGGGCACCCCCUGCAGAGCCUAGAUCCAUGGCAAAAGGUAUGUAUCACCCCCUAUCCCUCAGACAUCUUUACCAUCAUGUCUCUUGGGCAUCAGAGCUGGUUGGUCCCACAUCAGGAAUGGGGAGGAGAGAGGUGCCCUGAUGCCUGUGGCCGAAGCCAGAAGAGUUCUGGUCCCUAGGGAUAACUGAACCUGCAACUUGGUCCCAGGAUUGUCCUGCAGCUCCCCCUCCUGGAGGGAGGCAGCAGCAUCUCCCAGGACCUGUUUCCCAAAUCUCGGGGUGCUACCAACUCUUCUUGGGGUCAAAGUAAAGUUUUUCCAGGCCAGUGAAAAUGCAGUUAGCUUCUGCCCUGGGAUACAGCAACCUGAAGAAAACUUCCAAAAUGCCUGUUGCUUAUUCUCUAGCCUCCAGCCAAAUCUAGGCCUUGUUCUCACCUAGCCAGUGGCAACUGCUUUCUCACCUCCUUGUCCCCAGUGUCCCCAUUCCCCAUCUGCCCUUCACACUGCUGCCCCAGCAACCUCUCCAAAAUGUCAGGCCAAGAUCCCUCCCUUUCUACACGCCUCAUCACCCCAGACUUGCCCCACCUGGCCUGAUGGCCAUGCCUUCUGCUUCAGCCACACUGAGGCUGCCCUGCCUGGGGCUGCCAUCUUCUACACCAGCAGGGCUUCAUCCCUGACAUGUGCUCUGCCUAGAAGGCACCAGCUUCUCCAGGAGUCAGCUGGAGGCCUGCCUGGUCACCACUUCUCCCCUAGGUGAAGUGGCAGCCACUUCUACCUCCCGUGGUCCCACCGCCUUGGUCCUUGGUCUCACAUGUCUCCUUAAAUUGUGCUGCCUCAGCAUUUCCCCCUUAGAGUGAGCUUGUAGGAGCAGUAGUGACUUGUUCCUUCCUGCGGCUUCCAUUACCCACUCUGCUUAGACAAGCCCAUCCGGUAAUAGGCCUCAGGAUCUGUAGACCAGUUAUUUCUGCAUGGCCCCUGUGGACAGUAUCACCUGGGGUGGUCAAAUCACUACCCAGGGAAGUUUGUAGGCAGAAAGAGGAAUAUAUGUCCUCAUCCUAUGUUUGCCACGGGGCCAUUGAGCAUCCAAAUGACUCUUGAAAGGAGGGAGCAGCCUGAGACUAUGCCCAUUUUCAUCCUACUGCUGCCACCUGGACCUGCCCAUCCCACUCCCUCCAGUGACCUUGCCAGGCCACUAUUCCAGGGGCCCCACAAAUGAUUGUGGACUUUGGAUGGCCUCAGCCUUUCAAAUUCUGACCUGUCCCUCCCGUAGCUUCCUCCACCCCUCACUUUGGUUUCCUUACUUUGGUGCCUUUUAUAGGGGCUUUCAGGUGGAUGUGAUACAAUGAUGUGCCCUUGGGGAGUUUGCAGUCUAGUCCCAAAGAUGGUUCUAGCCCACGUGACAGUAGCAUGUAGGUGCUACAAUUCAGGGCAAGAAUGGGUGUUGCCUGGCUCAGCAGCAAGCAGGGUAUCCUGACUUUUCAAGGGCAUGUGUGUACUAGCCAGGUGGAGGGGUGAGAGAAUAGAGGCAUUUUAGGCAAGGGAAGCCCCAUGUGCAGAGAGUCAGGGUAAGAAAAGGUAUAGCUUGGUCGGGUGCAGUGGCUCACAUCUGUAAUCCUAGCACUUUGGGAGGCCAAGGCAGGAGGAUACCUUGAGGCUAGGAGUUC
Molecule: RNA transcript, 4003 nt
Organism: Lemur catta (Ring-tailed lemur)
Lineage: Eukaryota; Metazoa; Chordata; Mammalia; Primates; Lemuridae
Gene: GFOD2
Gene name: glucose-fructose oxidoreductase domain containing 2
Exons: 4
Source: RefSeq, a predicted model, not a curated record